Molecule: ribosomal RNA, 632 nt
Filed under: uncultured bacterium
Lineage: Bacteria
Description: bacterial SSU rRNA
Rfam family: Bacterial small subunit ribosomal RNA (bases 1-533)
Source: RNAcentral
CCUACGGGAGGCAGCAGUGAGGAAUAUUGGACAAUGGGCGCAAGCCUGAUCCAGCCAUGCCGCGUGCAGGAAGAAGCAUCUAUGGUGUGUAAACUGCUUUUGUACGGGAAGAAACACUCCUACGUGUAGGAGCUUGACGGUACCGUAAGAAUAAGGAUCGGCUAACUCCGUGCCAGCAGCCGCGGUAAUACGGAGGAUCCAAGCGUUAUCCGGAAUCAUUGGGUUUAAAGGGUCCGUAGGCGGUUUAAUAAGUCAGUGGUGAAAUCUGGUCGCUUAACGAUCAAACGGCCAUUGAUACUGUUAGACUUGAAUUAUUGUGAAGUAACUAGAAUAUGUAGUGUAGCGGUGAAAUGCUUAGAUAUUACAUGGAAUACCAAUUGCGAAGGCAGGUUACUAACAAUAUAUUGACGCUGAUGGACGAAAGCGUGGGGAGCGAACAGGAUUAGAUACCCUGGUAGUCCACGCCGUAAACGAUGGAUACUAGCUGUUGGGCGCAAGUUCAGUGGCUAAGCGAAAGUGAUAAGUAUCCCACCGUCGGGAGGUACGUUCGUCGAAGAAGUUAGUAAACGUUACGAAAGUAAGUUAAGUUAGGACGGNGAGAGAGCGACGACGACGACGACGGAGGGAGGAGG